GACGAACGCUGGCGGCGUGCUUAACACAUGCAAGUCGAACGGAAAGGCCCUGCUUUUGUUGGGUGCUCGAUUGGCGAACGGGUGAGUAACACGUGAGUAACCUUCCCUUGUCUUUGGGAUAACUUCAGGAAACUGGGGCUAAUACCGGGUAGGAUCUCCUGCUGCAUGGUGGUGGUUGGAAAGUUUCGGCGGUUGGGGAUGGACUCGCGGCUUAUCAGCUUGUUGGUGGGGUAGUGGCUUACCAAGGCUUUGACGGGUAGCCGGCCUGAGAGGGUGACCGGCCACAUUGGGACUGAGAUACGGCACAGAAUCCUACGGGAGGCAGCAGUGGGGAAUAUUGCACAAUGGGCGGAAGCCUGAUGCAGCAACGCCGCGUGCGGGAUGACGGCCUUCGGGUUGUAAACCGCUUUCGCCUGUGACGAAGCGAGAGUGACGGUAAUGGGUAAAGAAGCACCGGCUAACUACGUG
This 468-nucleotide ribosomal RNA is filed under the name uncultured bacterium. RNAcentral's name for it is "partial 16S ribosomal RNA". It matches the Rfam family "Bacterial small subunit ribosomal RNA", at positions 28 to 507 of the family's 1533-position model. The record is from RNAcentral.